CCUACGGGUGGCAGCAGUGGGGAAUAUUGCACAAUGGGGGAAACCCUGAUGCAGCGACGCCGCGUGAGUGAAGAAGUAUCUCGGUACGUAAAGCUCUAUCAGCAGGGAAGAAAAUGACGGUACCUGACUAAGAAGCCCCGGCUAACUACGUGCCAGCAGCCGCGGUAAUACGUAGGGGGCAAGCGUUAUCCGGAUUUACUGGGUGUAAAGGGAGAGUAUACGGCAGAACAAGUCUGGAGUGAAAUCCCGGGGCUUAACCCCGGAACUGCUUUGGAAACUGUGCGGCUAGAGUGCAGGAGGGGUAAGCGGAAUUCGUAGUGUAGCGGUGAAAUGCGUAGAUAUUAGGAGGAACACCGGUGGCGAAGGCGGCUUACUGGACUGUAACUGACGUUGAGGCUCGAAAGCGUGGGGAGCAAACAGGAUUAGAUACCCGAGUAGUC
This 440-nucleotide ribosomal RNA is filed under the name uncultured bacterium. Its description in RNAcentral is "partial 16S ribosomal RNA". It matches the Rfam family "Bacterial small subunit ribosomal RNA", at positions 338 to 795 of the family's 1533-position model. The record is from RNAcentral.